This 245-nucleotide ribosomal RNA is filed under the name uncultured delta proteobacterium. Its description in RNAcentral is "partial 16S ribosomal RNA". It matches the Rfam family "Bacterial small subunit ribosomal RNA", at positions 524 to 768 of the family's 1533-position model. Lineage: Bacteria; Deltaproteobacteria. The record is from RNAcentral.
GACGGAGGGUGCUAGCGUUAUUCGGAUUUAUUGGGCGUAAAGGGAGUGUAGGCGGUCAGCCAAGUCUGAUGUGAAAGCCCGGGGCUUAACCUCGGAAGGGCGUUGGAAACUGGUUGACUUGAGUUCGGGAGAGGGAAGCGGAAUUCCGGGUGUAGAGGUGAAAUUCGUAGAUAUCCGGAGGAACACCGGUGGCGAAGGCGGCUUCCUGGACCGAAACUGACGCUGAGACUCGAAGGCGUGGGGAG